This 443-nucleotide ribosomal RNA is filed under the name uncultured bacterium. RNAcentral describes it as "partial 16S ribosomal RNA". It matches the Rfam family "Bacterial small subunit ribosomal RNA", at positions 338 to 795 of the family's 1533-position model. The record is from RNAcentral.
CCUACGGGGGGCAGCAGUGGGGAAUAUUGGGCAAUGGGCGCAAGCCUGACCCAGCAACGCCGCGUGAAGGAAGAAGGCUUUCGGGUUGUAAACUUCUUUUCUCAGGGACGAAGCAAGUGACGGUACCUGAGGAAUAAGCCAUGGCUAACUACGUGCCAGCAGCCGCGGUAAUACGUAGGUGGCAAGCGUUAUCCGGAUUUACUGGGUGUAAAGGGCGUGUAGGCGGGAAAGCAAGUCAGAUGUGAAAACCAUGGGCUCAACCUGUUGCCUGCAUUUGAAACUGUUUUUCUUGAGUACUGGAGAGGCAGACGGAAUUCCUAGUGUAGCGGUGAAAUGCGUAGAGAUUAGGAGGAACACCAGUGGCGAAGGCGGUCUGCUGGACAGCAACUGACGCUGAGGCGCGAAAGCGUGGGGAGCAAACAGGAUUAGAUACCCGUGUAGUC